RNAcentral lists this ribosomal RNA (459 nucleotides) under Bacillus sp. R-30833. RNAcentral describes it as "bacterial SSU rRNA". It matches the Rfam family "Bacterial small subunit ribosomal RNA", at positions 28 to 480 of the family's 1533-position model. Lineage: Bacteria; Bacillati; Bacillota; Bacilli; Caryophanales; Bacillaceae. The record is from RNAcentral.
GACGAACGCUGGCGGCGUGCCUAAUACAUGCAAGUCGAGCGGACAGAUGGGAGCUUGCUCCCUGAUGUUAGCGGCGGACGGGUGAGUAACACGUGGGUAACCUGCCUGUAAGACUGGGAUAACUCCGGGAAACCGGGGCUAAUACCGGAUGGUUGUUUGAACCGCAUGGUUCAAACAUAAAAGGUGGCUUCGGCUAYCACUUACAGAUGGACCCGCGGCGCAUUAGCUAGUUGGUGAGGUAACGGCUCACCAAGGCAACGAUGCGUAGCCGACCUGAGAGGGUGAUCGGCCACACUGGGACUGAGACACGGCCCAGACUCCUACGGGAGGCAGCAGUAGGGAAUCUUCCGCAAUGGACGAAAGUCUGACGGAGCAACGCCGCGUGAGUGAUGAAGGUUUUCGGAUCGUAAAGCUCUGUUGUUAGGGAAGAACAAGUACCGUUCGAAUAGGGCGGUACCU